AGCUGGCACCCGGCUGCGCUCGGCGAAGAGGGCUGGGGGCGGGAGAUGACGGUGGUCUUCUCCCUGCUUGGCACCCUGCGAGCACCAGCUCCCUUCUCCUCGCCACUCCAAGGUUGCAGACGAAGCAGGUACUGUCCUAGAUGUUAAGGACACAACAUUGAGCAAAAACAUGCAUAGUCCCUGCUUCCGUGACACUUGAGUGAACUGAAUGUGCAAAGUCCCUGUGGCACAGAGUCCCUGGGGCCAGUGUGUGUGGCGGGUAUAGAAGGAGCUAAAGAUGUGAUUAUAAAGUCUUCAGUGGAAUAAUCGCAAGUUCCCGUGUA
Molecule: small RNA, 323 nt
Filed under: Pan troglodytes (chimpanzee)
Lineage: Eukaryota; Metazoa; Chordata; Mammalia; Primates; Hominidae
Description: processed transcript
Source: RNAcentral